GAUCCUGGCUCAGGAUGAACGCUAGCGACAGGCUUAACACAUGCAAGUCGAGGGGCAGCGGGGGUAGCGAUACCCGCCGGCGACCGGCGCACGGGUGAGUAACGCGUAUGCAACUUGCCUAUCAGAGGGGGAUAACCCGGCGAAAGUCGGACUAAUACCGCAUGAAGCAGGGACCCCGCAUGGGAAUAUUUGCUAAAGAUUCAUCGCUGAUAGAUAGGCAUGCGUUCCAUUAGGCAGUUGGG
RNAcentral lists this ribosomal RNA (242 nucleotides) under uncultured bacterium. RNAcentral describes it as "partial 16S ribosomal RNA". It matches the Rfam family "Bacterial small subunit ribosomal RNA", at positions 15 to 253 of the family's 1533-position model. The record is from RNAcentral.